AUCCGCACAUGCGCGUUUGGACAAGACAGUCUAACUGCGCACUUUGGAUCUGAGACGAAUUGGCGGGCUGCUGCGUGGCUGCUUUCUGUCGUGUUUGAGAUCAAGGAGGAAUUCAGGAGAAUCGAUCAUGGGGCAGAGAUUCAUGUUCAGACUUGACCAAUGCACAUCAAGACUUAUUGCCCUGAUGAAGGCCAUGGGAGGUGUUGUGGGGACCAACUGAGGCCAUUUCUGGACAAACUGAGUCAGACACAAAGCCUUGAGAUGGGAAUCAGUUAUCCGCAGCCUCAUUCUCUACUUUGACGAUAAAGAAGAUGAUAAACUGUGUUUUGAAGAUGAACAGAGUUCUGACGGGCUCGGGACGACAUGAGGGAGGACAGCGGCAGUGACAUCACUCAGCACAGCAUUAAAAUACUGGUCGUUCGUGGUGCUGAUGGAGAAGAUCCAAUCGAUGUAUCCAUCCUUUUAGAAGGGAAGGAAAUGCUGGAAGCAGCAAUACCGUAAAGACAGUUUUACUGAAUGCACCUGUGUCAAGAGAUGACUGAAUGUCCAUUCUUGUAUGAACAUUUUUGAUGACUGAAAAAUAAACUGUUUAAUUGAA
Pimephales promelas (fathead minnow) is the source of this 598-nucleotide non-coding RNA. The record is from RefSeq and is a predicted model, not a curated record. NCBI's taxonomy places the organism in Eukaryota, Metazoa, Chordata, Actinopteri, Cypriniformes, Leuciscidae.